Molecule: ribosomal RNA, 452 nt
Filed under: Bacillus licheniformis
Lineage: Bacteria; Bacillati; Bacillota; Bacilli; Caryophanales; Bacillaceae
Description: bacterial SSU rRNA
Rfam family: Bacterial small subunit ribosomal RNA
Source: RNAcentral
GAUACUGGCGGACGGGUGAGUAACACGUGGGUAACCUGCCUGUAAGACUGGGAUAACUCCGGGAAACCGGGGCUAAUACCGGAUGCUUGAUUGAACCGCAUGGUUCAAUUAUAAAAGGUGGCUUUUAGCUACCACUUACAGAUGGACCCGCGGCGCAUUAGCUAGUUGGUGAGGUAACGGCUCACCAAGGCAACGAUGCGUAGUCGACCUGAGAGGGUGAUCGGCCACACUGGGACUGAGACACGGCCCAGACUCCUACGGGAGGCAGCAGUAGGGAAUCUUCCGCAAUGGACGAAAGUCUGACGGAGCAACGCCGCGUGAGUGAUGAAGGUUUUCGGAUCGUAAAACUCUGUUGUUAGGGAAGAACAAGUACCGUUCGAAUAGGGCGUACCUUGACGGUACCUAACCAGAAAAGCCACGGCUAACUACGUGCCAGCAGCCGCGGUAAUACG